GACUUCCUUCUUUCAACUCCAUUUCUCUCUUUCUCGUUUCUCUCUCUUAUUCCAAUUUUCUCCCUCCUCCUGGAUAUGCUCUGCGAUUCUCACCUUCUUCAAGUUCGUCCCUUCGAAUUUCUUCAAUUUUCGCCAACGUAUUUAUAAUGAGGUCCUAUGUGAAUUCUUCAAUGCAAUGGUUGUUUCAAUUUGGCUUCUCCGAUUGAAAGGGCAGCAAGCAACACUCAAUAAGCUUGCUAAGAGUAUCGAGUCUUUGACUGGCACUCUAGAAGUUGUUAACUAUACAGAUUCCUAACCACUGCGGGCUGAACUACUUCGCUCAAGUAAAGCCAGACAUUGUACAGCGCGUGUAUGGCACAUCGGUGUAACAUCCAUUACGAUUAUUAGUUAGAAAGGGCGGCAUAGUUUCGCAAGUCAAGGGCAAGGUGACUUGUGGCUGACUCGGUAAGUUAUAACUCCUUUAUGUUGGCAAUUUCAUCACUGAGAAAACUCCUAACAAGCUCUACUAUUUUUUGACCAGUGCAUCUAAAUUCUGCCUAAAUGUCUUAUACAUAUUAGUGAUUGCUUGGAAUGGUUUCAGAAUUUGAUAACUUAAGCAAUAAAGGAUAGGAGAUCGUGUGUUGGAUACCCCGUAUCCAACUUUUGUUUUACUUCUGACUGAUGAGUUGUCUUUGCUUAGUGUCAGAAGGCUUCCCAUGAUUUCAUUAUUAGUUGUGUACUUCAUGGCUUGUUGUUAGGCACAAUUUGAGAGUGACAGGGGUUCUGAUAGUUUUUGGUGCAGGCAGUUGGGGAGUGUCUUGUUUGUGACCCUGCAGUAUUCUGGAGUCAAAAUUAUUUAUUCCUGCACUGCUGGUCUUGUGGUUGUUUUGAAAUCAUGGAUCAGCUAGGUGGUUCUGAGAGUUUGUUGAUGCAAUCCUGCUUCAGUGUUGACCUGCAUUGACUGAUUAGCAGCUGCAUUAUAUUGACUAUUCUCAGGAGUGUGGUUGCUGCAGGGAGGGGCAGUGGGUACUAAUGCAGAUUUGGUUUAGCCUGGAUUCCUGGUAGUGGUUUCAGUUGGUCUAAGUAGUAGCUUUGGGUAGCUGUAGCAUUAGGUAUUCUGGUGUGCGAUAUUUAGAGUGUUUAGGUAUUUGAGUGUGUUAAUAUGUCAACUUAGGAGCUUAUAUUAAUCCUUAGCCUCAUGAAGAUGGUAGGAAAGCUAACUAGUUUUUUAGUAACAUAACUGAAGUAAGUAAAUUAAUAAAACUUAGGUAGUGUUUGGCCAAGCUUCUAGGAGAGUUUCUAUGACCCAAAAGCUGAAACUAGGCCAAACACCACAAAAGUUGAAAGAUGUUUUGAAGGAAAUAAUGCCCUUGGUCCAAGUAUGCAUUCUAUGUUAAGUCUAAUAAAUGCGGUUCAGUAUUAAUUAACAAGUUAAUAAUUCAGUGAGAUCAAGUGAGCUGAAUGCCUAGCUAGAGGCCGCUUCAGUUCAAGUGGAAUUAAUGAUAUUAAUCCACAGCUUACUCUUGACUGAACCCGUAGGGUCACACAAAUAGUACGUAAACGGAUCAAGUAUUUAAUGGCAUUAAAUACUCUAUCUAUGGAUAUUCGGAACCGACGGAUCUUGGUUUCAGUGGGAGCUGAGAUCGUCACAGGCAAGAAAUGAAUACUCCGGAAACGAUGAUAUUACCGGAAACGGAAAUAUGGAUUGUAUCGGAAAUAUAAAUAUUAUCCAAGUCGUAGAUGUUGCCGGAAACGGAAACAUGGUACGUAUCGGAAAAUAUUAUCGGAAAUGGAAAUAUUACCAGAAUCGGAAAUAUUGCCGGAAACGGAAAUAUUGUCAGAAUCGGAAAUAUUACCGGAAUCUGAAAAUAAUUCCGGAAACGGAAAUAUUAAAUAUUUGUUCGAAACGGAAAUUAAUUCCGGAAUCGGAAAUGUUAAAUAUUGUUCGUAUCGGAAAUGAAUUCCGGAAUCGGAAAUUUAAUCGGAAGCGUAUCGUACGAAUAAGCAUCGGACGAGGCCUGCCGGACGAGGCCCAGCACGAAGCCAGGCCAUCGCCCAGCAAGCCAAGCGCGCCGCACAAACAGCCACGCCAGGCCCAGCGCAAGGCCAGGCCCAGCAGGCCGUGGCAGCGCGCACAGCGCGCGCGGGAGCUGCGUGGGCUUGCAGCUCGCGCAGGCCUCGCUGCGUGGGCUGCUGCUCGUGCGCACGCAUGGGCGGCCCAUCGUGGCUGCCGUGUGUGCGUGUGUAAGUGUUUGUGUUCGUGCACGUUUCCUAAAACGUGCGGAGUUCGGUUAAUGAUUAAAUUCCUAAUUCUAUUUGAUAAAUUAAUUAAAUUAGAGUUCUUGUAGAAUUCUAGGUUUAAUUAAUUUGUAUCUGAAUAGGAUUCCAAUUCCCUUUCCAUACCCCUAUAAAUAUGUGGCCAGGGUUCACAAUUUAUAACGAGUUUUCAAAGUAUUCAAAGUGAGUUUUUGAGAGAAAAAUUCAGCCACACAUCUUGCUCAAAAGUGCCGAAAAUUCUAGUACCUUAAGGGCGAUUCUAGUUGGUCAAUCUUAAGGCGGAUCCGGACGUGCUGUGGACUAUCUACGGAGGGACGACACUUGGAGUCCUAAAGACUUGUUCUGGUUCGCUUCGGGCGCAGCUAGGGAGGGCACGCAACAAAGAGUAUGCAUCUAAAUUAUGCUAUAUGAUUAUGUGUAAAUAAUAUGUAAUCCUGGGUUAAUGGUUGUUUCCGCAUGAUUUAUGUAAUAUCAUAUGUAUCAUAACCUAACAGUGGUAUCACGAGCCCCUUAUUAUUUUCAUAAUCUAAAUUGCAUGAACAUGGUUAAAUAUUACAAAUUUGCAAGAAUUAAAA
Long non-coding RNA from Spinacia oleracea (spinach), 2831 nucleotides. RefSeq lists it as uncharacterized. The transcript is spliced from 3 exons. NCBI's taxonomy places the organism in Eukaryota, Viridiplantae, Streptophyta, Magnoliopsida, Caryophyllales, Amaranthaceae. The record is from RefSeq and is a predicted model, not a curated record.